This 2171-nucleotide long non-coding RNA is filed under the name Agrilus planipennis (emerald ash borer). Its description in RNAcentral is "uncharacterized LOC108743162". The record is from RNAcentral. Lineage: Eukaryota; Metazoa; Arthropoda; Insecta; Coleoptera; Buprestidae.
AGCAGUCGAGCCUGGCACCACAUUUGUUCAGUACGUUAUAUCAUCAUUGUCUACAGUUUCACGUGGUUAUUGUUUAACGAUAUUUGAGUGAUUUUCUCGUUAUUGUUAUAGUAAGUUAGUUCAAUUUGAUGUUUUUGUAAUGAAUACAAUAAUUACAGUAAAAAGUAAGUGAAAUGGAUUCAAAACACUACGGAAAAUUUCCAGUAUAGAAGAGUUAAUCAGGACGGAAUAAGGGCAACCCUACGCAGAGGAUAAUCAUAAAACCUUUAAGGACUUUUACUAUGGAAAUGGCGUUUUCUUGAUUAAUUGGAGAUAAAAUUCGUUUUGAAAAUUUACCUACCUGCGUCCUUACACCAUAAUAGAGUUCCAUGGCCUUCCACACAGCGCAGGAGAAUGGACCAUUUUUCCAUGUUCUAUGCUUUACGCUGAGCAGUAGUUUUAUUGUAUUAUUGUUAUAAAAAGUGAAUUUAUUGAGAAACCUUUGCGUUAAAUUGCUACCUUUAUUUCGUAUAAUUAAUUUUUUCAGGCGUUACUUGUUAAUUCCUUUGAGAGAAAUUACUUGCAUAUUUAUUUUGUUCCAAAUUUUUAUUUGCUUUUAAUAGAGUCUUUCUUAAUGUGAAAUAAUUAAGCAUGUUUGAUUAAUUUACUGAGUUACAUUCACGCUUCAAGUUAAUAAACAUGUGAAAUUGAUUUUAUGUUAUAUUUUCGAUUUCUUUGUUUAGAUCUCUUUCAGUUUGGACUUUAGGGGUAGCAAUUUUAUAUAAUUUAAAAAAAUACAAGAAACGUCCAGUAAGAAUUCAAUAAAGUCACUUUUGAAACUUAGUAUUUAAGAAAUAUUUUGGUAAUAUUAUUAUAAUAAGAUAGUAAUAGUUUUAGUAUUAGUUUUUAUUAGAUAUAUAUUUAUGAUUUGUAUUAUAUAGUGCAGGUACAUUUAUCGUUACUAUGAUAGGUUAAAAGUAUUUAUUUCACGAUCAGUAUCAUAUUUAAAUAUUUGCAAAUAUUUAAGUAUUGUAAAUAAACAAGGGGGAAAAAGGGAUUUAUUGUGGGGAGAGAUUGAGGGCGAAAAGAAUUUCAAUGAAAGGAGGUGCAAGGAAUUGGGAAUGAGAAUGGAAUAUUGAUAGGGUGAAGGCGUUAAUCGUAGUGUAAGGGUGCGAAGGUGACAAUACAAUGUGUAUGAAUGUAUGUGUGACAAAGAUAGAUUAAAGAUAAAUGUUUGACAGAAAUAGGUAUGUACGUGUAAGGGUGAUACUGGUAAUGAAAAGUUGGAAGGAAUGAAUAAAAAUGUCUGGGGUAGUGAAGAUGUAAAAGUGAAUGAAUAUUGUGAAGGUGAAAUGAACAAAAGGAGAGUGAAAUUAAUUAGUAUGUAGUAAUGUGUGAGAGACAGAGGUAGCAGGAGAGAAUGGGGAUGCAUUAGCGUAAACUGUCACAUCUCUGUUCACCCUGAUGCAUUCCUUUCUGUAAGGGUAUGAAAGAGAGUACAAAGGAGAAAAUGAUGGGUGACAGGAGGUGUAAAAGUGUGAAUGUAUGAACGUAUGAAAUGUGGGUGAACUGUCUCACCCUUGUUUACGUGAGGGUAUGAAAGAGAGUAUAAACGAGAGUAUGUGGGGUGUGAAUGCUUGGGAGAGGUAUAAUUACUAUUACGUAUGAACGAGAACGUGAGGGAUAUGGGUGCAUGACAGGGGGUGUACUUGUGUGGAAUAUAAUGUGAAUGUAUGAAAGGAUGCAUUAGGGUGAAUAUCACACCCCUGUGUGUAUGAGAAGGAUGUAAAGUGAGGAGAAUGAAUGCAUGAGACCAGUUGUAAAUGUGCGAAAGAGGUAAGAAUGAGGAUGCAUGAGGGUGAAUUGUCACACCCGUAUUCACCGUCAUGCAUUCUUAUUCUCUACCAUUACGUGUAAGGGUAUGAAAGAAUGUACGAACGAAUGUGAGAAGAAUGAAUGAGUAAGAAGGGGUGUGAUGUGAGUGGGGAUGCGAAUCAGAAUGAGGAGUGGAAUGUGAUGUAUGAGAAGGGGGUGUGAAUGUGUAUGUAUGAGAGGGGGUACGAGUGUGUGCGUAUGAGAGGGGUGUGAAUGUGUAUGUAUGAGAGGGAGUAUGUGGGUAUGUGUGUGCGUGUAUGAGAGGGGGUACGAAUGUGUGCGCGUGUGUGUGUAUGAGAGGGGUGUGAAUGUUGUGU